Apis cerana (Asiatic honeybee) is the source of this 630-nucleotide long non-coding RNA. RefSeq lists it as uncharacterized. The record is from RefSeq and is a predicted model, not a curated record. Lineage: Eukaryota; Metazoa; Arthropoda; Insecta; Hymenoptera; Apidae.
AGUGAAUAUAUUCCAGUGAUUGCAAUAACUGUGAAAAUUUUCUUUGUUAAUCAAGUUUCGUUAACGAAGCUUUCUGUCCUUCAAAGUUUCCAGAGUUUUUCAGCUAUUAACGUGUAUAUAUACAUGAAAACUCGCGAUAACGAUAGUACAUCGAAGAAACAAUUUCAUGGAAAACUAAGUAAUAAUUAUUCGAGUUUUAGAAAUUGACGAAGAAUUUUUGAACAAUUUCUAUAAAAUUAAGAAUUCUACAAAGGAAGAAUUCUCGAAAUUGAUAAAAGCAUACGUGAAUUUAGAGAAACAGUAAACUUUGUUCAUCGCAAGGAAUGGAGUUUGUUAGCAUUCCAAACUUCGUUAGGAAUCGUAAUUUGAAACGAGAAAUGGAAGAAAGUGUCUGGAAAAUUAAUAAAUUUGCAUAUUUGUCUAAAUAUUUGCGUUUGAAGUGGAAAAUGCUAAUUAAAGAAAAGGCAAGCUGAAAAUUAUUCCAACCAGAAUAUAAAAUUUAAUAAACAAUUAUUUUCUACUCACCUAGUAAAGACAAGGCACAGUAACGUAGCACUAAGGAUCAUAAGUUGCUGACUUAAAGCUGAUUGAGAUUUUUGCAUAGCUCUGUGCAGAUCGUUCUGAAAAAAA